UGCGUGCGGAGGGACUUGAACCCCCAGAGCCGAAGCAACGGCUUUACAGGCCGCACCGCUACCAAUUACGGGUUACACACGC
This 82-nucleotide transfer RNA is filed under the name Streptomyces phage BRock. RNAcentral's name for it is "tRNA-Tyr". The record is from RNAcentral. Lineage: Duplodnaviria; Heunggongvirae; Uroviricota; Caudoviricetes.